GCCCGGGCGCCCGACGCGGCUACGGAGGCCGCGCGCGCCCCUGCGGCGUCGCAGCCUCUCCCACGUCAGGUGACUCUGGCCGCUCACUGGGGUCCUCCGCCGGCUGCGUCCCCGCCGUGACCAGCGACCUAAAGUUCAGUCGCGUACGACUCUUAGCGACCCCAUGGACUCUAGACGUGCCAACAAACAACUCUUACUCUCUCCCCCACGGUGUCCAGGUUGGGGCUUUCAUACGUGUUGGAUGAAUGAAUGAAUGGUGAACAGCGCGACCCCGUCCCUACUUUUCCAGUUCCCCAACCCAGCUACCGGUAAACCCCUGAACUUUCCCAGCGGAUGUUGAAGAAAGCGUCCCCAGGCCCCACCCGCGGCUUCUGGAGCCAGUGUUUCCUCACCUCCCAGCGGGACCAAGGUCCUUGCGCCCUCAGAUGGUCUCACUUGGAAUAGGCAGGGGCUAAGGAGACUCCUUUCCAAUUCGUUUUGGAGAAGACUCUUGAGAGUCCCUUGGACAGCAAGGAAAUAAAAGCAGUCAAUCCUAAAGGAAAUCAACCUUGAAUGAUCAUUGGAAGGAUUGAUGCUGAAGCUCCAAUACUUUGGCCACCUGAUGCAAAGAGCUGACUCGUUGGGAAAGACCCUGAUGCUGGCGGAGAUUGAGGGCAGGAGGAGAAGGGGGCAACAGAGGAUGAGACGGUUGGAUGGCAUCAUCGACUUAAUGGACAUGAGUUUGAGCAAACUCCGGGAGAUAGUGAAGGACAGGGAAGCUUGAUGUGCUGCAGUCCAUGGGAUCGAAAAUUGUUAGACAACGGCUCAGUGACUGAACAACAGCCCCAAGGAGACUUGAACACCACAGAGCCCUGGCACCAAAAACAGCUUGGUUCUUAAGCGUCUGCUCACCCCAAUCGCCAAGCUACAGUUAAUAAAUAUACACUCUAAGUAAAA
Long non-coding RNA from Dama dama (fallow deer), 936 nucleotides. RefSeq lists it as uncharacterized. Lineage: Eukaryota; Metazoa; Chordata; Mammalia; Artiodactyla; Cervidae. The transcript is spliced from 2 exons. The record is from RefSeq and is a predicted model, not a curated record.